ACCGGCGAACGGGUGAGUAACACGUAGGCAACUUACCCUGUGGACGGGGAUAACCCCGGGAAACCGGAGCUAAUACCCGAUGUAGUCCCGAUGUGGCAUCAGAACGGGAUGAAAAGUUCCGGCGCAAGUCGGAAUGUCGCAGGAGAGGCCUGCGUCCCAUUAGAUAGUUGGCGGGGUAACGGCCCACCAAGUCAACGAUGGGUAGCUGGUCUGAGAGGAUGAUCAGCCACACUGGAACUGAGACACGGUCCAGACUUCUACGGAAGGCAGCAGUGAGGAAUAUUGCUCAAUGGGCGAAAGCCUGAAGCAGCGACGCCGCGUGAGGGAUGAAGUCCGUUAGGAUGUAAACCUCUUUUGCAGGAGAAGAAUGUGGCGCCUUGAGCGCCAUUGACGGUACCCCUGCGAAUAAGCACCGGCCAACUACGUGCCAGCAGCCGCGGUAAUACGUAGGGUGCAAGCGUUGUCCGGAUUUACUGGGUGUAAAGGGUCCCGCAGGCGGAACCAAGUAAGUCGGUGGUGAAAAGUUCACGGCUCAACCGUGAAAUUGCCUUCGAUACUGCCUUGUCUUGAGUGUGGGAGAGGAUGACGGAAUUCAUGGUGUAGCGGUGAAAUGCGUAGAUAUCAUGAAGAACACCAGUUGCGAAGGCGGUCAUCUGGCCCAUAACUGACGCUCAGGGACGAAAGCGUGGGGAGCAAACAGGAUUUAGAUACCCUGGUAGUCCACGCCUUAAACGAUGGAUACUAGGUGUCGGGCCGUAAGGCUCGGUGCCAAAGCUAACGCAUUAAGUAUCUCACCUGGGGAGUACGAUCGCAAGGUUGAAACUCAAAGGAAUUGACGGGGGCCCGCACAAGCAGUGGAGCAUGUGGUUCAAUUCGAUGCAACGCGAAGAACCUUACCUGGGUUUGAAAGGCAAGUGACAGGCGAUGAAAGUCGCCCUCCCCGCAAGGGGCACUUGUACAGGUGCUGCAUGGCUGUCGUCAGCUCGUGCCGUGAGGUGUUAGGUUAAGUCCUGCAACGAGCGCAACCCCUGCACUUAGUUGCCAUCAGGUAAUGCUGGGCACUCUAAGUGGACUGCCUACGCAAGUAGCGAGGAAGGUGGGGAUGACGUCAAGUCCUCAUGGCCCUUACACCCAGGGCCACACACGUGCUACAAUGGCCGCUACAAAGGGUCGCUAUGGCGCAAGCCGGAGCCAAUCCCAAAAAAGCGGUCUCAGUUCGGAUUGGGGUCUGCAACUCGACCCCAUGAAGCUGGAAUUGCUAGUAAUCGCGCAUCAGCACGGCGCGGUGAAUACGUUCCCGGGCCUUGCA
This 1309-nucleotide ribosomal RNA is filed under the name uncultured bacterium. RNAcentral describes it as "bacterial SSU rRNA". It matches the Rfam family "Bacterial small subunit ribosomal RNA", at positions 94 to 1385 of the family's 1533-position model. The record is from RNAcentral.